RNAcentral lists this long non-coding RNA (1815 nucleotides) under Marmota monax (woodchuck). Lineage: Eukaryota; Metazoa; Chordata; Mammalia; Rodentia; Sciuridae. The record is from RNAcentral.
AGUGAUCGGGCGCUUGCCUAGCAUGUGUGAGGCACUGGGUUUGAUUCUCAGCACCACAUAUGAAUAAAUGAAUAAAAUAAAGGUUCAUCAAUAUCUAAAAAAGAUAUAUUUUAAAAAGGUGGGGGUGAGGAUGUAGCUCAGUGGUUAAGUGCCCCUGGGUUCAAUACUUGGUACAAAAAAAGAGAGAGAGAGAAGUCUUUUUUUUUUUUUUUAUUAGUUACACAUGACAGUACAAUGAUCUUGACAUAUCAUACAUUUGAAUCAGAUGGGGUAUAAUUUCUCAUUUUUCUGAGUGUGCAGGUUGCAGGAGAGAGAAGUCUUUGUGUGUGUGUGUGUGUGUGUGUGUGUUUGUGUGUAUGAAUGAACAGGCUACAAUCAUAUUGUUAUGCAAUUUGAAGGUAAUUGGAAAUUAAACCUUAAACCUUUUUCUUGGACUGUUUUGUAUUGCCAGAGUCCAAAAUUCAUCUGUCCAUCGUCAUCUAAGAUCAUCUGUCAUUCUAGGAGUCAUUUUAAUCACUUGUAUCAGGUAACUUGAGAAGCCUGAGCGUCAGGUUUUGAACUGAGCCAGAAAAAGUAGCUGCUUUACUUAAGCCAUAAGGAUUACACUUCUACUCUCAGAGAUUGGUGUGUCUGUGAUAGCAGAGAGGUGAGCAGUUAUCCAGGAAAGCUGCUUAGGAGAAAAAUCCAUCUAGGUCAUUUAGAACCCAAAUUAUCUUUUACUUCCCUAGAGGUCAUUUGCCAUAAAUGAUCUAAAUCCUUUUCUAUAAGACCUAAGUAGGUAAAUCAGAAUUUAAUAUAAACUUGGAGCCCAGGGAAUCAUGUUUGAUUUACUAGGUAAAUGCCAGUGGCUGAUAACAUCUGCAGACUAUGUACAUGUAUUAUUAAUGUGGGAAUGUGGGCAUACUGAUGUAUUCUAGAGAUAAGGCAGUGUAUUUCUUGACCAAGGAAAUCAACCAAAAAACUUUCAAGGAAUGGCUGUCUAUACUAGUUUUUCUUUCAAAAUCAUCAUGACUAUGUAUGAUUUUCAGAAUUUACUCAAUUUUUCUUUUAUCUUUAUAUUCAGUUUCCUGAUAUAUGGCAUAUACAUAUAAUAGCUAUGUUGAGAUACAAUUUAAAUACCAUGAAAGUAUACAGUUCAGUGGAUAUUAGUAUAUUACACCUCAGUCACCACCAAUUCUAGAACAUUUGCAUCACCCUAAUAAAGAAAACCUAUACUCAGUCAGGCACUGUGGCACAUGCCUGUAAUCCCAGUGACUCCAAAGGCUGAGGCCUGAGGAUCCCAAGUUUGAGACCAGCCUCAGCAACUUAGUGAGAUGCUGCCCAAAAGUAAAAAAUAAAAAUGGCUGGUGGGGCUGGGGUUGUAGCUCAGUGAUAGAGUUCUGCCUAGAACAUGUGAGACACUGGGUUCAAUCCUGAGCACCACAUAAAAAUACAUAAAUAAAAUAAAGGUAUUUUAAAAAAAUGGCUGGGAAUGUAACUCAGGGGUUAAGUAAUCUCAGUGACUCAGAAGGCUGAGGAAGGACAAUUACAAGUCCAAAGCCAGCCUCAACAAAUUAGGCCCUAAGCAUCUUAGUGAGACAGUGAGACCCUGUCUCACAAUAAAAAUUAAAAAGGGGUGGGGAGGAUUGGGGUUAUGGCUCAGUGGUAGGGAGCUUGCCUAGCAUGUGUGAGGCACUGGGUUCAAUUCUCAGUACUGCAUAUAAAUAAAUGAAUAAAAUAAAGGUUCAUCAACUACAAAAAACAGAAACAAAAACAAACAUACUUACCACCACUUGUUAUUAUCUGACUUUUUUUGUUUUGUUCUUUUGGUGGUGC